UACGUAGGGUGCAGGCGUUAAUCGGAAUUACUGGGCGUAAAGCGUGCGCAGGCGGUUUGCUAAGACAGGUGUGAAAUCCCCGGGCUCAACCUGGGAACUGCAUUUGUGACUGCAUCGCUGGAGUGCGGCAGAGGGGGAUGGAAUUCCGCGUGUAGCAGUGAAAUGCGUAGAUAUGCGGAGGAACACCGAUGGCGAAGGCAAUCCCCUGGGCCUGCACUGACGCUCAUGCACGAAAGCGUGGGGAGCAAACAGG
Molecule: ribosomal RNA, 253 nt
Filed under: uncultured bacterium
Lineage: Bacteria
Description: partial 16S ribosomal RNA
Rfam family: Bacterial small subunit ribosomal RNA
Source: RNAcentral